GAUGAACGCUGGCGGCGUGCUUAACACAUGCAAGUCGAACGGAAAGGCCCAAGCUUGCUUGGGUACUCGAGUGGCGAACGGGUGAGUAACACGUGGGUGAUCUGCCCUGCACUUCGGGAUAAGCCUGGGAAACUGGGUCUAAUACUGGGUAGGACCACUUCUUGGAUGUUGUGGUGGAAAGUUUUUUCGGUGUGGGAUGAGCUCGCGGCCUAUCAGCUUGUUGGUGGGGUAAUGGCCUACCAAGGCGUCGACGGGUAGCCGGCCUGAGAGGGUGUACGGCCACAUUGGGACUGAGAUACGGCCCAGACUCCUACGGGAGGCAGCAGUGGGGAAUAUUGCACAAUGGGCGCAAGCCUGAUGCAGCGACGCCGCGUGGGGGAUGACGGCCUUCGGGUUGUAAACUCCUUUCGCUAGGGACGAAGCGUUUUGUGACGGUACCUGGAGAAGAAGCACCGGCUAACUACGUG
RNAcentral lists this ribosomal RNA (467 nucleotides) under uncultured bacterium. RNAcentral describes it as "partial 16S ribosomal RNA". It matches the Rfam family "Bacterial small subunit ribosomal RNA", at positions 28 to 507 of the family's 1533-position model. The record is from RNAcentral.